UAGAGUUGAGGAGGCGCCAACGUGAAGACGACGAGUUCACAGGCGUCCCAUUGCGGCGCUCGAAGAAAAAUAAGGGCGGAACAUCACACCGACGUGCGGACGCAUACUGGCGAAAUCGAAUCAGGUACCUUAGAGAAGACGACGACACAGCGACUCGUUGUCUUUCCUCAAGACAGAACCCUAGUACGGCUCUCGACACAGGUGCGAAACUUGCUUCUCGCACUGCACCGGCCAGCUGACCCGAGUGUUGAUCUCCGAUACAGACGCUGGAUCUUUUGCCUGACAGAUGGCGAAGGGCGACAAGGAGGACGCGCCGGCGGACAAGCGCGUCGUGUGGAUUGAGCAGCGCAUAACCAAUGCUCUGAAACUGAAGCCUGCCGAGUCAAAGAAGCUUCUUGAGAGUGAAGAAAACCGAGCCCAAAUGAGUGAGUUCCUGGACACCGCCGAUGCGUGUCACCUCUAUGUAUACCAAGCAUCAACCGGUGCGUUUGUAACCCGCAUUGAAGCGCCAGAGGAGCUCAAAAAGAAGGGUUUGUUCUUCAGCAAGAUCAAGCGGGAGAAGAUAGCGGAUGAAAACCAUAUGAAGGAGACAAUCACAUUUGGCGACUUCUCGCCUGACGUCCUCAACAGCCUCAGCGCCGUGACGCGGAAUGUGUACGUGCAGAUCCUGAAGGGCGACAAGCGAAACACCGCGGCCGUCCCCGACGUGGCUGUUGGCGAGCUCAUGAGCGACACCAACCGGCUGCUCUCAAACUUGCUGGUCAUGCAAGGCUUGAGCGAAGGUAAGACGUUUUUGCCCAUGCCACCCAUUGAGUUUCCUCCCCGCAUCGACGACUUUGCCAUGGAUAAGGAGACGCUGUACCUGCUCGAGGGCACUGUCGUGUCGUGGACAGCGCAAAUCAAGGCCGCAAUCGCGUCGUCGCCGGAGGAGCUGGAGGAGGCCGCGCCACAGACGGGCCGAUACCCGUGCCCGCUGGAUGAGAUCCACUUCUGGAAGGAGAAGUCUGAGAAUCUGGCUGGCUUGGAGGAGCAGCUGUACUCGGUGAAGUCGCUCAAGAUUCUUGUGCUGCUGAAGCGUGCAGGUAGCAGCUACUACGCCGCCUUUUCGCAGCUGAUGGCCGAGUUGAAGGAUGCUGCGUACGAGUCUCGUGACAACUACCAGUACCUGAAGCCCCUCAUUCCCGAGUUUGAGCAGAUGUCUAUGUCAGCUGCCAGCCACGUCCCCUUCCUGGAGCUCUCCAAAAGCGGCGUCUUCAAGCGCCUCUUUCACUUUUUGUACCUGUUGUGGACGCAGUCCGGCUUCUACAACAACCCCGCUAGGCUUGUCUUCCUUAUCCGCGAGAUGGGCAACGCUCUGAUUGAGAUGGCAGCCGACCACGUCAACGUCGCCGAGCUCGCGGAGGGCCUGGAGAAGAAGGAGGUGAUUGAGCGGCUGAGCAGUGCGCUGGCGAUUGGCGGUGAGUUCAAGGCGCUGUACUUUCAGUACAAGUCACACGUGUCGUCCGUGGCGCGGCCGUGGAAGUUCCAGAACGCCGCGCUCUUCUCCAGGCUGGAUACCUUUCUGGAGCGGUGCCAUGACCUCCUUGACGUGAUCGAGACGGCGCUCCUCUUCGACAAGAUGGAGAACAUGAAAAUUGGCGGAACCAAAGGCCAGCACCUGACGUCCGAGGCGGAGGAGAUUAAGCAAAUCUUCGACGUGUCCCUUGCGCGUUUCUUCAGCGUCGACUACGACCUUCUAGACAUCACCAACACGCGCUUCGACGCCGACUACGACGAUCUCAAGUGUGUGAUCCGCGGGUUAGAGGAGCGCCUGAGUUCAAUCCUCGUCACCACAAUCGACGAAUCCAGCGCCAUCACCGAGGUGUUCAAGGCUGUGGACACGUUUGACGGCUUCACAGACAGGACGCCGAUGCAGCAGGAGUGGAUGAAGAAGCAAAGCGGCGUGCUCGAAGGCUUUCAUCAGGACCUGAUCAAGGUCCAGGAAACUUACUACGCGGGUGAGGCGGCUGGGGUGUACCCCAACUUGCCUCCUCUUGCGAGCACCAUUGUGCGGUGCAAGGCGUUGCUAGAUCGCAUCAACGAGAGCCACUCUCGCGUGGUCGACCUGUCCUCGACGGUACUGCAGGGCGAGCGCGGCGUUGAGGCACUCCAGCUGUACGGGAAGCUGAAGGAGCUGCUGCAGAGCACGAUCCACGAGAAGUUCGAGAGGUGGACCACCCAGGUGGGCGCUAUACGCUCGGACAAGCUGCGGCUGCCGGUGCUUUCAGUGGAUGCCAAUAAACGCCUUUCGGUCAACUUCGACGCCUCGCUUGUGAAGACGCUGCGCGAGGUGUACUAUGUGGAGGUACUCAACUCAUACGAAUCCGCGGGCGUUGGCCAGUUCGAGAUUCCGCGCGAUGCAGCGGCGAUCUUCAUGAAGCGUGACGUAUACCGUGACCAGGCACUGAAGCUGGAGUACCUGUGCACAACGUACAACAACUUGAGCUCGAGCCUCCGCCCGCACGACGAGCGCCCACUCAUCGAGGAUGAGUUGCAGAAGUUUGAGUCCUUCCUGUCGUGUGGCCUCAAGGACGUGCGGUGGGAGGACGAGGACGCCACAAAUGCGUUUAUCGAGGAGGCACUGAAGCAAGUCACGGCCAUCGACACAGCCGUGUCGACGCUGCAUUGCAAUGUUCAGCAGAUGAAGGACUCUAUGAACAAGUACAAGACGGAUGACACACUUUUUCCUUUGGAUGCCGCGACGGGGGCAAAGACAAUGUCGGUGGUGGAGCUGCGCAAGACGCUUGGCGACUACGUUGAGUCGCGCGCAGCGGGGCUGCGGGAUAGAAACGACGAGAUCAAGUUGCUGAUGCAAAACAGCCUGCAGGCGCUGCAGACGUUGAAGGAGGCAAAUGGCGGUGCUGUCGUGAGUAGCACGGACGCCGUGUGGCAGGAUUACCUUGCUUACGUCAGCUCCGUUGCACGGGAAUGCCUAGCUGAGGUGGCGGUGACGUCACUCACAAACAUGCGCAACCAGCUGGACCCGGUGUGGCUGGCGGACCACGACGGUAUCCCUCUUGUCGAUGUGAAGCUCUCUCUGUCGAAGGUAACGGCAGAUAACCCGACGUCAAAGUCCCGUUUUGAUCCUGCGCUCAUGACAAGCGACAGCGAGGAGACAUCGGUAUGGCAGAUUCUCAGUGACACAAUCGAUGGCAUAAUCGACUCUUACAGCCUCAUCGACCCCAUUCACGGCUCGACGUCGUACACGGAAGAGAUGCGGCAGGACGAGCACGCCCAUGCCCUCGUGGAGGAGAUUCAGACACUAUUCCAGCAGAACGUGGUGGCGUGCGAAGAGUACCGCCACGCUUACGAUGAGUUCAAGUCGCUGUGGGAAACGGAUCGCAAGAAGGUGUUCGCGAAGUUCAUUGAGACGGACCGUCACCGCAACGGGCAUCGGCCGAGCGUCUCGAUGGAGGACGCCACAGUGGCCAUGGCGCAGGGGCAGAAACCAGCAGAGUACUUUGGUGUAAGCCUGCAAGAAUUCGAUCGCGCGAUUACCGAGUACACGCGCAUCCGAAGCCGACUUACCGCGAUUGAGGACCGCCACACCGAGGGCUCAGUGCUGAUCGACGUCAAGCCGUUGCGCGUGGCGCUGCGCGACCUGAGCCGGCGAUGGAAGGAGAUGUAUUCCGACUAUCUACUAGACAAGAUCAAGGCUGAUCUGAGUCAACUCUACGAGUUCAUCAAGGAGGCCGACAAGGGGCUCGAGGUGGAGGUGCUGGACGGCGACGUGGAUGCGCUCAAGUCCGUUAUGCGGUGGAUCCGCGACUGUCGCAAGCGCAACACGGAGGUGAUGGGCGAUGACGAGACCGGCGAGACAGGUGGAAUGUUCCCGCCCAUCAAGGCGGCUAUUGGCAUGCUGAAGACGCAUGCCAGCACUUCGCCGGAUGCCGAGGCGGAGCUGGCGAAGAUUGAGAAGCUCGAGGAGUUGCGGAAGCCUGCGCCUGAGCAGUGGGUCGCGCUGAACAAAAAGGCGCUGAACGCGCGCGCGCAGAACUCCAUCGUGCAGGACCGUGAGGCAGAAAAGAUCAAGGAGAAUGUCGCGGCGUUCGAACAGGAGCUGAACUACGAGGUAGACGCCUUCCACCAGAACCCGCUGUUUACCUACGCCAUUCAACCUAGUGAGGUCUAUAACGCUAUCGACAGCGUGUACGCACACUUCAUGGUUGUCGAGAAUAAGGCGAAGGGGCUGCAGAACCUGCAGGACCUCUUUGAUCUUGCCGUGUCACAUUUCAAGGGCAUCCGCGAAUGCCGGCAGGAGCUGGCGCUGCUGAAGCAGAUUUGGGAUCUUAAUUUUCACGUUACCUCUCAGUUCCGCGACUGGAUGCGGUCGACGUUCAAGGACGCUGACGUGAGCUACUUCGAGGAUGAGGCCAAGAAGAUUUCAAAGCAACUGCAGCUGCAGCCGAUGAAGGUGAAGGGGUGGGGCGUCUUCAAGGGUGUCGACGAGACUGUGCGCAACAUGCGCACGUCGCUGCCGCUGUGCGACUCGCUGAGCUCGCCGUCUAUGCGGCCGCGCCACUGGGAGGAGCUGGUGCGCACGACGAAUCAGCCUGGCACCAUCGACCCCGCUGCUGCAGAUUUCACGCUUGAGAAACUCUUCGCCCUCGGUCUUCACAAGUACUCAGAAGACGUGGCCAGCAUCGUUGAAAAGGCUGAGAAGGAGCUGCGCAUCGAGACGAACCUGUCGAAGAUCAUUGUGGCCUGGGAAAAGCUGCAGUUCACGUAUGAGAUGGACGCCCACCUGGAUUGCUACCUCCUCGGCUCCGUCGACGACGUUGUGGAGCAACUGGAGAACGACAGCAACGCCCUUUCCUCCAUGUUGUCUGAUCGCUUUGUGGAGUACUUCUACGAGAAGGUGCUGAGCUGGCAGAAGGACCUCGGGCUGGUGGACACGUGCACGACAAAGUGGAUGGACAUCCAGCGUCAGUGGCAGAACCUGUUCCCCAUCUUCGUCCUCUCUGAGGACAUCAAAGAGCAGCUGCCAAAUGAGGCGAAGCAGUUUAGCGAGGCGGACCGCGUGUUCCGUCUUCUCAUGAGCAAGGCGCACCCGUACACGAACCCGGUGGAGACGAUUUGCUCCGGCAAGCUGUCGGAGGAUAUCGGGCGUGGCGAAACGCUAGAGGAGACGCUCAACUACAUCCAAGGCAUCCUGAACCGCUGCGAGAAGGCUCUGGCUGAUUACCUGGAGACGAAGCGGAAGCUGUUCCCGCGCUUCUUCUUUGUCUCGGACACGGACCUCAUCGACAUUCUUUCCAAGGGCUCCGACCCGCGUGCGGUCAUUGUGCACAUGAGCAAGAUCAUCGAAUCCGUUGACUCCUUCACCUUUGACAAUAACCCGUACCCCCACGCUGGCGCGGAAGAAGUGUGGGAGAUGGUGUCAAUCCAAGGAGAGAGGGUGACACUGACGGAGAGCUUUGCAUGCGACGGCGCGGUUGAAAGCUGGCUGGAGGGGCUUGUGCAGUGUAUGAAGCGCAGCAUGAAGGUGCACAUCAGGGAGGCGAACGCGGGCUAUCUCGAGAAGCCGCGAAACGAGUGGAUCUAUCAGUACCCGUGCCAGGCGGUCAUCGUAGCGUCACGUAUCUGGUUCACGACCGAGGUGCAUCAAGCCUUCACGCAGAUCGAGGAGGGCAACGAUAUGGGCAUGAAGGACUUGUUGAAGAGCCAAAAGUCGCAGCUGGACAGCCUCAUCAAGGAGGUGCUGCUAGAUCGCUCGUCGACGGAGCGCAAGAUGCUAGUGCACCUCAUUACUAUCGACGUGCACAACCGGGACAUCGUACAGAGCAUGGUGGACGACCGCAUCGACUCCGUCGAUGCCUUCAGUUGGCAGUCGCAGCUUCGCUACUACUGGGACGAGAACAAGGGCAGCGAAAUCCGGAUCGCCGACGCCGACUUCACCAACGGGUACGAGUACAUCGGCCUGUGCGGCUGUCUUGUCAUCACAAAGCUGACGGACCGCUGCUACAUCACCCUCACGCAGGCGCUGCGGCUGAAACAGGGCGGCGCCCCAGCUGGGCCGGCUGGUACGGGCAAGACAGAGACCACCAAGGAUCUGGCGCGCAACAUGGGCAUUGCGUGCUACGUGUUCAACUGCUCCGAUCAGAUGAAUUACAUUACUCUCGGCCAGAUCUUCAAGGGUCUCGCUAUGUCCGGCUCGUGGGGCUGUUUCGAUGAGUUCAACCGCAUCUCUAUUGAGGUGCUCUCUGUCGUCGCGACCCAGGUGGGCUCGAUCUUGAACGCGCUCAAGGAGAACAAGUCGCGCUUCCGCUUCGUGGGUGAGGAGAUCUCGCUCAAGCGCUCCGUGGGCAUGUGGAUUACCAUGAACCCGGGUUACGCCGGUCGUACGGAGUUGCCGGAGAACAUCAAGUCGCUCUUCCGUCCGUGCGCCAUGUGCGUGCCGGACCUUAAGAACAUUUGCGAGAUCAUGCUGGCCGCGGAGGGUUUCGGCGACGCCAAGGAUCUUGCGCUGAAGUUCGUCACACUGUAUCGUCUGAACAAGGAGCUGCUGUCACCGCAGGACCACUACGACUGGGGUUUGCGUGCCGUCAAGUCUGUCUUGUACAUCGCUGGCGCCCUUAAGCGCGGUGAUCCUGAUCUUCCGGAGCGCAACGUUUUGAUGCGCGCCCUCCGCGACACGAACAUGGCGAAGCUCAGCAAGGACGACGUGUACGUGUUCAUGGGUCUGAUCCGCUCGCUUUUCCCGAACCUCGAUGUGCCGAAGAAGAACAAGCCGGAACUGGUCGCUGCAUGCAAGGCGAUGUGCAAGGAGCAGGGCAACUUUCCGGGCGAGAAUGACAUCUUCAUCCUGAAGUGCGUGCAGUACGAGGAACUGCUGCAUGUACGCCACUCGGUGUUUAUCCUCGGUGCGGCCGGUGCGGGCAAGACUGAGUGCUGGCGGUGCUUGCAGGGCGCGCUGACGAAGCUACACCAGGACGAGUGGAAGGCCAAAGCGGUCUCGUCGUGCCUCAACCCAAAGGCGAUCUCCUCCAAUGAGCUGUACGGCUACUUCACCCCGCAGAAGGAGUGGCGCGACGGCAUUUUGUCGACGAUCUUCCGCGACUAUGCCGUGGAGUCGAAGAAAAAGAAGAACAUGAAGUGGAUCGUGUUGGACGGCAUCAUCGACGCAGAGUGGAUUGAGUCGAUGAACACCGUGAUGGACGACAACAAGAUGCUGACGCUCGUGUCGAAUGAACGCAUUCCGCUGACGGACUCGAUGCGAAUGAUCUUCGAGGUGUCGCAUCUGCGCAACGCCUCGCCGGCGACAGUGUCGCGGGCCGGUGUCAUCUUCAUCAACGAAUCGGAUCUGGGCUGGGGCCCGUUCAAGGACAAGUGGAUCGCGUCGCGUGAGAAGCGCGAAGGUGUGAUCCUCGAUAACCUCUUCGACAAGUAUGUGCCGUUCAUCUUUGAGUUCUGGAAGCGCAGCAUGCGGCCAAUCGUGUCUGUGAUGGACAUCAACGUGGUACAAACCCUUUGCUUCCUCCUCGACGGUAUCUUCAAGACGAUUGAACCGGAGGAGCUAGCGAAGAACUCUAACCCUUUCGAGGUGUACGAAAAGUACUUUGUCUUCGCCGCCAUCUGGGCCUUUGGCGGCCCGCUGCCGAGCUCCGACGGCCGCAUUGACAUGCGGCUCAACUUCUCAAACCAGUGGAAGAAGGAGUUCCCGAGCAUGAAAAUCUCCGACGCCGGAUCGGUGUUCGACUACUACAUAGACAAGACCAAGGACGACAGCGGCGCUGUGCUGUUCGACUGGAAGCCAUGGACGGAGCUCGUUCAGCCCUACACGAUGGACGCGGAUAUACAGCUGUCGUCUGUGUCCGUGCAAACCGCUGACACGGUGCGCAUGUCGUAUCUCAUGAGCCUUUUUGUCGACAACGCGAAGGGCGUCAUGCUGGUGGGUACCGCUGGCACUGGUAAGACAAACCUCAUCAUGUCGAAGCUGCGUUCGCUGGACAACGAGAAGGUGGUGUUCCGUGUCGUCUCGUUUAACGCCCGCACCUCAUCCUCUGGUUUGCAGGGGGUGAUGGAGCAGUCGCUGGAGAAGCGCUCUGGCCGCACCUACGGCCCGCCGAAUCGCAAGAAGCUCGUGUUCUUCCUUGAUGACAUGAACAUGCCAACGCCAGACAAGUACGGCACGCAGGAGGCCGUGGCGCUGCUGCAGCAGCACGUCGGCUACGGCUUCUGGUACGAUCGCGUCAAGAUUGUGCAGAAGGAGGUGGUAGACGUGCGGUAUGUUGCUGCGAUGAACCCCAAAUCCGGCACCUUUACCAUCCUCGACCGUCUGCUGCGCCACUUCGCCGUUUUCUCGACGAAUAUGCCGGAUCGCGCAGACCUGGUGAGCAUCUACGGACAGAUUUUGCAGGCGCACACGAAGCCAUUCUCCCGGGACAUCCGCGACACUCUCACGACGCUGCUCACAAACGCCACGAUCGAGCUUCACUCGAAUGUGGCGAAGCUGUUCUUCCCGACGGCAAUCAAGUUCCACUACCAAUGGAACAUGCGUGAGAUGUUCAACAUUUUCCAGGGCCUGUGCAAGUCCAACCCGAAGCUGCACAAGAGCAGCCUGCAGCUGGUCCGUCUUUGGGUGCACGAGUGCAACCGCACGUUCCGCGACCGCAUGGCCGAUGACGCCGACAUGAAGCGCUACGACGCCCUGCUUCAGGAAGUCAUUAUGCGAGCCGGAUUCACCGACGUGAAGGCAAAGGAUGUGAUGGAGGAGCCGCUGCUGUGGGCGCCGUUCCAUACGACGCCAGACGGGCAGGAGAACGUGUACGAUGAAACAAACUACGACGAGGCCGGCGCCUACCUGCGCAAGAAGCUGGCGGACUACAACGAGAACUACGCCUCCAUGAACCUUGUGUUGUUCAACCAAGCCAUCGAGCAUGUCUGCCGCAUUGCCCGUAUCACUUCGAACCCGCGCGGAAAUGCAUUCUUGGUCGGCGUUGGCGGCUCUGGUAAGCAGUCCUUGGCACGACUUGCGUCGUACAUCAACGGACACGACAUCUUCCAGAUUCUCGUGACGAGCACGUACGACAUCAAUGACUUCCGCAACGACAUGCAGGAGCUGUACCGAAAAUGCGGUGUACGCGGGUACCCGUUCGCGUUCAUCAUCACAGAUACACAGAUUGUGUCGGUGGACAUGCUGGUGUACCUGAACGACAUGCUGAGCAGUGGUAACGUGCCGGAGCUGUUCAACCAGGAUGAGCGCGAUGGUAUCAUCGCCUCCGUCGUAAACGAGGUGAAGGCUUCCGGCGUCGCCGACUACUCGAAUCCGGAUGUGUGCUGGGAACACUUCAUCCACAAGGUUCGCUCGAACCUGCACAUUAUUCUCUGCUUCUCGCCCGUGAGCAAGAACUUUGCUGCGUGGUGCCGACAGUUCCCGGCGCUGGCCAACACCACCGUGAUUGACUGGUUCCUGAGCUGGCCGGAGCAGGCGCUUCGGUCGGUGGCGCAGCGCUUCCUUUCCGAGAUUGAUCUGGGAGGCGAGGAGAUGACGCAGAACAUUGCGGACUUCAUGGCGUACUGCCAGAUAAAGGUGACGGAGACGUGCGAGGAGUACUACGCGCAGGAAAAGCGGCACGCCUACACGACACCCAAGUCGUUCCUCGAACUGAUCGCCUUCUACAAGGACUUGCUAGCCCGGAAGCGGAAGGAGAAUAGUGAUCAAACGGAUCGCCUCGUGAGCGGUAUCGAUAAGAUCAAGGAGGCAGGGGCGCAAGUGCAGGGGCUGCAGGAGGUGCUUCAGCGGGAGAGCGUGGAGGUGGAGGAGGCGCGACAGAAGACGGCAGCACUUCUCGAGACGGUGGGCCGUGAGAAGUCCGUCGUGGAGGAGCAGAGCGCGAUUGCGGCGAAGGAGGAGUCGAAGACGAACAAGAUCGUAGAGGAGGUGACGUCGUUCGAGAAGCAGUGCCAGGAGGAUUUGGCCAAGGCGCAACCGCUCGUCCAGGAGGCGCUGGCGGCCCUCGAUACUCUUGACAAGGCCUCGAUUGCGGAGCUCAAGAAUCUCGGCAAGCCCCCGGAAGAUGUGCAGAUGGUGGCCAUCUGCGUGCUGGUGCUCACGUCGAACCCGCGCUCGAUUCCGUCGAUGAAGCAGCGGUCGUGGAAUGAGUGCAAGAAGAUGAUGAACCAGGUGGAUCGCUUCUUGACGGAGCUGCGCAACUUCGACGUGAACAACAUUCCCCAGGUGUGCAUCGACCAGAUUCAGGUGUACAUCAACAACCCCUCCUUCGACCCGGACAUCAUCAGGAACAAGUCCUUCGCGGCGGCCGGCCUAUGCAAGUGGGCCAUCGGCAUGAACCGCUACCACACCGUCCGCUGCGAGGUGCGUCCGAAGGAGGAGCGACUCGCGGAGGCGCAGCAGCGUCUUGUCUCGAGCCGCGCAGCGCUGAAGAAAAUUCAAGACAAGGUGGCGGACCUGCAGGCCAAGCUUGGCGCUCUGGUCAGCCAGUACGAUGAGGCCGUGGCCGAGGCCGACGCGAUCGAGGCCAAGGCGAAGAAAACGCAGAUGAAGAUGAACCUGGCGCAGCGCCUUGUGAGCGGAUUGGCGGACGAGAGUGUGCGCUGGGGUGCCACCAUCGAAAAGCUAAAGGAGGCCGCAAAGCUGCUGGUCGGCGACGUGCUGCUGAGCGCGUCUUUCGUGUCUUAUAUUGGGCCCUUCUCGAAGGCGUUCCGCGAGCAGAUAGUGGAGCAGGACUGGCUGCCGGAAAUCAAGAAGCUGGGCAUUCCAAUGACGGAGGGUCUUGACGUGACGAUGGACGUGCUCACUUCGGAGGCGGCGGUGGCGUCGUGGAACAACGAGGGACUCCCCUCUGAUCGUGUCUCAACCGAGAACGGUGCCAUUCUCAACAACUGCAUGCGCUGGCCGCUCAUGAUCGACCCGCAGCUGCAAGGCAUCAAGUGGAUUCGCACCCGUGAGGAGAAGAACGGCCUGCGUGUUGUGCAGACCACACAGAAGGGCUGGCAGCGCACUCUGCAGACGUGCAUCGAGGAGGGCCUUCCGUGCCUUAUCGAGGGCCUCAGCGAGUUUGUGGAGCCCGUUCUCGACGGCGUUCUGAGUCGACAGACGUUUCGCAAGGGCGGCCGCGAGUUCAUCAAGCUCGGCGCUACCGAAGUGGAGUACAACCCGAAGUUCCGGUUGAUUCUGCAGACAAAGCUCGGCAACCCUCACUACGGCCCUGAAGUGAACGCGCAGACGACCCUGAUCAACUUCAUGGUGACAGAGACGGGUCUGGAGGAUCAGCUGCUGGCGGUCGUGGUGAGCCAAGAGCGACCAGACUUGGAGAAUAAACGCGGCAUGCUGAUUCGACAGAUGAACACCAUGACAAUUGAGCUGCAGCAGUGCGAGAACGGACUGCUCUACGAGCUGACAAACGCAACCGGCGACAUCCUGGAGAACGUCACCCUGGUCGAAAACUUGGAGGCGACCAAGAAGAAGGCGAAGGACAUCAACGCCUCCUUCGCGCAGGCCGUCGUCACACAGAAGGAUAUCGCGCAGAACCGUCUGCGGUACACCGACGUAGCGGUGCGCGGCUCUCUCCUGUUCUUCCAGAUUGACCAACUGUGGAAGAUCGACCACAUGUACCAGUACUCGCUGGAGGCGUUCAUGGUGGUGUUCAACAAGGCUCUCGCCUGCGCACCGCAGCCGGAGAACAAGAAGGAUGUAAAAAAGCGCGUGGCGAACGUCACCCAGUCGAUCACGGAGAAUGUCUUUGCCUACGUGUCGCGCGGCCUGUUUGAGCGCCACAAGCUGAUCUUCUCGAGCCUCCUCACCUUCACCAUUCUGAGCCGUCGCAACGAGAUCAAUCUGAAACAGCUGGACUUCCUCCUCCGCGGUAAGAAGAAGACGGGCGUGGUGCGGCCAGAGACGGUAACGGCGUGGUGCACGCAACCGAACUGGGAUGCGGUGCAGGCGCUGGCGGAAGUGGAGGGUGCAACGCCCUCGUUCAGCCUGCUGCCGAGCGACAUGGCAGAGAACAAUCGAUGGUUUCAGUACUGCGAGCUUGAGAAGCCGGAGGUGGAGAAGAUGCCAGGAGAGUGGAAGAACCUCUCUAACUUCGAGCGCCUGCUGGUGCUGCGUUGCCUGCGUCCAGACCGUCUCACAGCAGCGCUGGAGAUGUUUGUGGGCACCACCAUCGGCCGCUUUUUUGUGUCCGAUCAGGCAGUGGACAUCUCUGUCUCGUACCAGAACUCGAGCACAACGACGCCGCUCUUCUUCAUCUUAUCCCCUGGUGUCGACCCGGUCAAGGCAGUCGAGGAGCUGGGCCGCAAACUGGGUUACACCUACGACAGGGAGAAUUUCUACAACGUAUCACUGGGGCAAGGUCAAGAGGUGGUGGCGGACCGCGCGCUGGACAAGUGCUUUGCCGAGGGCGGGUGGGCGCUACUAUCGAAUAUCCAUCUGGUGGAAAAGUGGCUGCGCACGCUGGAGCGGCGCCUCGACACGUACGCGGAGACGUACACGCGCGUCGCGCAGCUUCGCAAGGAGAUUGCGGAGCGGAAGGCCGGCGAACGCAGCGCCGCUGCAGGAGGCGUCGGCGACGGCGAUAAGGAGCAGCACGACGAUGAGGCGGCAGAGGACAAGUCGGCGCCCUCGCAUUGCGAGAGCGGGGAGGGGGAGACGGACGAGGAUAUCGGCGACGGCGAGGACGGUGCUGAGACGGGCAGUGGCAACGCGGCGGGGGAUAAGAAGAACGACAUGAUUGUGGUGACGGAUGACGAGAUCGAGUUCGAUGGCGUUAAGGGGCACCCGGAUUUCCGCGUGUUCCUGAGCGCGGAGCCAUCAAAUGUGAUCCCUAUUGGUAUCCUGCAGCGCUCGGUGAAGCUGACGUCGGAGCCGCCGACUGGUAUUCGGCAGAAUAUUGUGCGUGCCAUGAGCAACUUCAGCGACGAGCCGUGGGAGAAGAGCGCGAAGCCGACCGAGUACCGCUGCAUCAUGUUCUCCAUGUGUUUCUUCCACGCCGUCGUCGUGGAGCGCAAGAAGUUCGGCCCGCUGGGCUGGAACCGCGCGUACCCGUUCAACGCCGGCGACCUCACGACGUGCAUGGAGGUUGCGGCCAACUACAUUGAGGACCGCCCCAAGGUGCCGUGGGAGGAUCUGCGCUACGUCUUUGGCGAGAUCAUGUACGGUGGCCACAUCACAGACGACUGGGAUCGCGUCCUGUGCAUGGCGUACCUGCAGAGCUACCUCAUCCCAGACUGCUGCGACGGCCUGCAGCUGGCACCAGGCGUUGCAGUGCCGGCGCCGGCAAGUUACCAGGAGUACAUGCAGUGGCUGACGGCUAGCGACGAUUUCCCGGCUGAGUCGCCGCUGCUGUAUGGCCUGCACCCCAACGCGGAGAUAAACUACCGCACGAUGCAGGCCGACGUCCUCUUCAAGACCAUCAACGAGCUGCAGCCCAAGAAGCACAGCGGCGGCGACAUGCUGAGCCCGCAGGAUAUUGUGCAGCAGAAGAUCGACGAGAUUCGCGAGCGCUUGCCGGAACCGCACAACCUGCAGGACUUGUCAGAGCGCCUCGAGGACGACCGCUCGCCUCAGCAGCACGUUUUCUACCAGGAGAGCGAGCGCAUGAAUAUCCUUAUUGAGACCCUGCGUGCGUCGCUGGAGGAGCUGAACCUUGGCCUGAAGGGUGCGCUGUCGAUGAGCACCGCGAUGCAGGAGCUGUUUGAUCAGAUUUACCUGGACAAGAUGCCGGAGCGAUGGGCGCGCGUCUCCUUCAUGUCGCAGCGCAUGCUCGGCUCGUGGGUGGAGAACUUCAUGGCGCGCAAUGAGCAGCUAGUGAGCUGGAACGCCGACCUGCAGACGCCAAAGGUUACAAAUAUUUCGCUCUUCUUCAACCCCAUGUCAUUCUUGACCGCCAUCAUGCAGACCACCUCCAUUAUCAACAGCUUUGAUCUCGAUCAGAUGGCACUGGUUGUGGAUGUGCUGAAGAAGUCUGCCGACCAGAUCGAGUCCAACGCGCGCGACGGUUGCUACGUGACCGGGCUUGCAAUGGAGGGGGCUCGGUGGGAUGGCACGGCUGGCUGCAUCGAGGAAAGCCGUCUAAAGGACCUGUAUCCCAAGAUGCCUAUCAUGCAAGUCCGCUCCCUGCCACUGAGCAAGAUUGAUCGGCGUGACCAGUACGAAUGCCCCGUGUACAAGACACAGGCUCGUGGCCCCGGCUUUGUUGUCGGUUUCUAUCUCAAGAGCAAGCAGCCGUCGCGUAAGUGGGUGAUUGCGGGGGUGGGCCUGUUGCUAGACGUGGUGGAGUAGCCAGACUCGGGCACACGCGGCGUGCCGGACAGGCGCAUGAGGAAACAUAGACAAUGCAGCGCCGAAGCUCGCUGCAACGAGAAGCGUCAGUAUGUUUUUUUUUCUUUCGUGACGCAGCAACCCAGCGGUCCCCGUGCACCUCUCAUUGACAGGAUGGGGGGGCGAUGGGACGGUCGGCGUUUGUGGAUGUACGGAGAGUAUCCAUGUUUAGUAGUGCUCUUUUUUCGGAUUUGUGUGUGUGUUUUCCUCUCUUUCCGUACGUGUGUGUUUCUUGGUGUGUCUGCCUCUGUCACAUUUCCCUUUUCGGUUUGUUUGCCGGUGAUGUAAGCUGUGCAGCAUGCGACACAUAAUCACGCCCACUACGCAGUGUGUAUGUCUAUUCUUCGUGAUCCCUGUGAAUCUCACGACACC
This 14695-nucleotide unclassified non-coding RNA is filed under the name Leishmania donovani. RNAcentral describes it as "gene:LdHU3.13.1910(CDS-product:dynein_heavy_chain _putative)". The record is from RNAcentral. Lineage: Eukaryota; Euglenozoa; Kinetoplastea; Trypanosomatida; Trypanosomatidae.